CUUGGACAGCGGCGGCUGCGGCGUCACCUUGAAGCUGGGGUCCCUUAUCCGCUUCAGCGUGUAGGCCUGGAACACGUUCAGGGUGGUGAUGUAGGGAUUGCGCAGACGCAGCCCCUGCUUCAGGUAAGGAUCGCCUUCAAGAAUGUCCUUGUGCCCAGCGAUCUGCAACAAAAAAAAAGUACAGUACAUGAAUAUAUAUAUAUAUAUAUAUAUAUAUCGUGCAGUCUGCAGUGCAUGAAUAUCAUUCCUGCAGUGAACUUGCUGGUAAAAAAAAAGGUACCUGUAGGAGAAGCUGCUGUGUCUCCACGUAUUUGUCCCUGAGCUGCUUCCCAAAGGGCUUGAGUUCCUCGGCGACAAGCAGCUCGUCGUACAAGCCGGCAAUGCCAGGGUCUCCCUUGGCGAAAACCAUCUCCAGCAGGUCCAGGGUGACCCUGAAGAAUGGCCACUCGUUGUACAUCUCCUUGAGCUUCUGGAAGUUCUUGAUGUCCUUGUCGAUGGCCCACUUGAAGGCGGCGCCGACUCCCAGCCACACGGGGAGGUGGAACCUCGUCUGUGUCCACGAGAAGAUCCAGGGGAUGGCACGCAGGGUGGUGAUGCCGCCGCCCGGCUUCCUCUUGGCUGGCCUGCUGCCGAUGUUCAUCUUCCCGUACUCAGUCUCAGGGGUAGCCUGACAGAGAAAGACAGACGAAUGAAUUAUAACGACGACAUGGAUGAAUGAAUUCGAUUAUUCGAUCGAUCUUCACCAAACAUCAAACAAAUAUAUGAUGGCAUACCGAUCUGAAGUACUCGACGAAUCGCGGCUCCUUGACGACGACGGAGCGGUACUCCUCCGUGGCGACGACGGCCAUCUCCUCCAUGAGCUUGCGCCACUCGGGCUUGGGAGACACCGGCGGGUGCAUGCCGUGCUCCAGCGUGGCGGCCGUGAACCGCUGCAGAGACUGGAAGCACAGGUUCUCCUCCCCGAACAUGAACUCGAUGACCUCGCCCUGCACCGUCACACGGAUGGACCCGUUGAUGGUGUCCGGCGGCUGGGACAGGAUGGCGAGGUGCGUCGGGCCACCGCCCCUGCCGACGGUGCCACCGCGGCCGUGGAACAAGGUCAGCUUCACGCCGUACUUCUUGGCCACCUUGGCCAUCUCCUCCUGCGCCACGUACAGCUGCCACGCCGCGGACAGGCGGCCGGCGUCCUUGCCGGAGUCGGAGUAGCCGACCAUCACCUGCUGCUUGCCGUUGAUGUGGUUGAUGUACCAGUCAGUGGAGAAGAGCUUCUCCACGGACGCCGGCGCCGCCUGCAGGUCGGCCAGCCUCUCGAACAGCGGCACCACGGGGAGCGUCUGGCGAAUGCCACACUCGCGCUGCAGGAGCUCGACGGCGAGCACGUCCGAGGGCGCCGUGCACAUGGAGAUGAUGUAGGGGCCGAAGCUGUCGAUCGGGAGCUCGGCCAGGACGCGCAUGGCGCCGAUGACGUCGGCGAUCUCCUCGGUCAUGGGAAGGUCCGGGGGCAGCAGUGGGCGCUUGCCUUUCAGCUCCGACACCAGCCACUCCAUCCGCUUGUCCUCGGGCCACGAGCGGUACGACCCGAUGCCGAGGUGCGUGGUGAUGGCGUCGAUCACGUCGGUGUGCCGCUCCGACUCCUGCCGGAUGUCCAGCUUCACCAGGGAGAGACCGAACGCGAACACCUGGCGAAGGAGGUCCAGGAGGCUCCCGUCGGCGAUGGCCUUGUCGCCGCACUCACACAGGGAUUUGUAGCACAGCUCAAGGGGCUCAAGGAACUGCACGCAUGAGAUGCAUUUUUUUUUGUGCGACAGUAAGAAUCAGACCGAAAUGUACUAGUACAUCAUAUUAUUGAUUGAUCGCUUAAAUCACAUUUCAGUUUCACAAAAGGAAUAAAAUUAAGGAACUUGCCGAUUUAUUUACCUCUUCGAUCUUGGUAAAUACCGCGUCCUCAGAAAUUUCAGAAAAUCCAGUUGCCAGCAGAUGGCGUGCACGCUCGCGUGUGUUGUAUAACUUGUCCCUUACAGCACCAAGGAUCACCCGGUAGGGCUCGUUUGGGGGAAUUUGCUUCCAGAAUUCUGCGCCAGCAUCAAAUACUCUUAUUCAGAAAAAUUGGCAAACUGACACACGUACGGCUAAUUAACACGGGGCAACAUUGUUGAAAUCAAAUUUGAAAAGACUAGUGGAGACUUUGCAAAAGCCUGUGCACGCAACCACAAUCUGCAACUUGUCCUAGUGCCGUGGGUUCUCCUAUUUUUAUCAUUCAAUAUUUAGAAAAAAAUUUCUCUACCAAAUGCCUCCCUAAUGAGAAUUCCCAUAAUUAGUGGUAGUAUUUUACUACUACUUAAAACAUUAGGAGAACUCUAUUAUUUUUGCUAGUGGCGGCAGACGAAUCUAUGAGGAGGUACGAACAAGCAAUAGCUAAACAACAAUCUGCAUCUCUAAAAACGCUUAUUAGCUAAUUCAGUCUCUCUUUUUUUUCGUGAAUACCUAAUUCAGUCUCUUUAAAUAAAUAAAUUCUUCUGUUUGUAGUUACCUAUGUAAUACUUGGUAACUUUCUUUGAAGCUGGAGUACUCUGGACUUCUUCGGCUCGAGCACGAAGCUCAUCAUUGCAGCGCCACAUAGAGAGCUAGAGACAUAUAUCAGAUGAGAGUAUUGUUAUGGAUCGGAGGCACCAAAAAAACGGCAAGCCAAAAAAAUGAGCAUUACAAAGCAUUCAAUCAAACACAUUUGUUCAGUACCUCAAACAUCAGGUCUUCGACCUGAUUGAUGUACAAGUUUGCAGCCAUCAUUCUAGACAGCAAGCACACAUCUCUUGUCACCUCCGGAGUAACUCUUGGAUUUCCUACAGUGAUAAAAAUGCAAAGAUAUACAGACUUAACAACAUCAAACAUUAGCAUCAAUACUAUAGAACAUUAAAUUAUUAAUAAAAUAGAAUGACACCGCCAUCUAGUUUAUCUUUUUUUUUAGAAAACAAAAUUGGGCUCGAAUUUUGAUAGGAGAAGUGUUGAAAAGUAAAAAUAUGAAUCUAAAUCAGUCCUUUGCAAAAAAAUAAUUAACAAGUUUGUGAUAAUUGGAUAUAGACUACAUAGUAUCUAUUAUGUCUAUUUUAGAAAAUAAACAAAGAGCAAAACAUAUAAUUCAAUAUAAAUAAUUCUUUACUAGUCAGAUGUAUUAAACAAUAUAUAUUUUAAAAUUCUAGCUCGUGGGAAUGUUUUUCUCUUAGGCCCUGUUUUGCUACCCAAAAUUUUUUCAUCCAUCCCAUCGAAUCUUUGGACACAUGCAUGGAACAUUAAAUGUACAUAAAAAAAUAAACUAAUUACACAGUUUGGUUAAAAAUCGCGAGACGAAUCUUUUAAGCCUAGUUACUCUAUGAUUAGCCUUAAGUGCUACAGUAACUCACAUGUGCUAAUGACAGAUUAAUUAUGCUUAAUAGAUUUGUCUUGCAGUUUCCUGAUGAGCUAUGUAAUUUGUUUUUUAUUAGUUUCUAAAGACCCCUCCCGACAUUCUUCCAACAUAUCCGAUGUGACACCCAAAAAAUUUUCAUCCCCAAUCUAAACAGGGCCUUAAUUGAAAGAUAGAGAGCUCCUGCCACUUUGUUAAAAAAAAAGUAAGUGGAAAUAUACCAUCACGGUCACCACCCAUCCAAGAACAGAACUUAAUGAGAGGAACAUCGUAGGGAAGGCGCUCAUUGAUGCCGAUAUUCUUCAGGGCUGUAUCCACACGGCGCAAAAACUUAGGCACACCGUUCCAUACAGUUUCAUGGAUGUAGCUCAUCCCAUAGCGCAUUUCAUCCUGUGGGGUGGGUUGUGCUCUCCUGAUUUCAUCAGUUCUGAAAGCUGCUUGGAUCUGUGUACAUCCAACAAAACAAAUUAGAACUAAACAACCAAAAUAAAUUGAUAGAUACAGUGAAGGUAACGACAGAAUUCAAUCUAAUCAUAACAAAAAACAUGGUACACAAGAGAGGGAACACUGUAAGUUUUGUUUUUCAUUUUUUUUGAAAUCAGGAAACAUUUAAAGUUUGUAUCACAGACUCUUUACAGAUGGUGCAAAAUGUUAUUGUGUAGGCCUAAUAACAAACUGCAUAUUGAGUUUUCAGUCACCUUUCUAUGUUUCUUAUAUUAAACUAAUGGUACUUGUUUAAUGUAAAUAGUGAAUUUUGUUCUGACAAGAUCACAAUGCGUUCUCAGUUUGACAUGGUCUAGUCUGAAGGUUUUCUUUUGUUGAAAGUUCUGUAUAAUUAUUCAAGAAAAUCAUACAUCCUUGUUUAUGUAGAUGACCUAAAUAAAAAUGUUGGUUCUUGUGGAACAGGUUUACUUCUAAGUAUCUCAUAUUUUUGCAUAUAAUUCGAUCUCUCUCUCGAUAGAGUGUCUAUAUUUUUCCAACGGCGUACCAAACAGAGUGAAAGGACAUGGGGAUUAGCUACCAAUAAAACAUGGACAAUUACUAAAACACCCUUAAUUCCAUAGAGUGGGAAAAAAUAUGACUCUUCAUAAAAUUUUAAUUAUAGUGUAAAGAGAAAAAUCAGGCUCGUUCUGAUUCGUGUAAUGAUUACCUAGGGAAUAGGAUAAUGUGACAUUCUUAAAUGUUAGCAAUGUUUUAAAUGAUUCUUCGUGCUCAUUCAUAUAUAUAGAGUGAAGAAGGCUUGUGCUCUCGUGAAGUGCAGCCAGACACCUCACACAAACAUAUAUAUUGACAUAUCAAUUGAGGAUUAAUUUCUCUGGCCCACUUAGUUACACGUGUGUCGUGCCCAAUGUCUUAAGCUCAUGAGUCCACUUCUAUUCUAUCUCUAUCAAAGAAAAAAUGUAACGACGACGCAAAAAGAGAUAGACACUUUGACAGGACAGUGAUUGAAAAACUUUUACGAGAAUGGCUCAAACGGUUUUCGAAUUUGCAGGAAAAUCGUGUAAAAGUGUGUAUAUCCGAGGCUAGCUCUUGAUAAAUAAAGUUAUUAUAUUCCCAGAUGUGUGAAAUGCAUGUAUGCAUGUACGUACCUCUCUGUGCAGAGCCUCGUCGAGCUCCUUCUUGUCUUCGACCGUGACGUCCUUGGCACUCAGCUGCGUCAGACAAUUCCGGAUCCUGCAACGACGACAAGAGAUCAACAUUUUUGAUCCAGAAAUCCAAGGGAUUUGGACGCGGAUUAAUUGCAGAAUGAGAUCGAGUCGUAGUAUACCUGGCGUUUUUCUGCAGGAGCGACCUCCUGGCGGACUGCGUGGGAUGCGCGGUGAAGACGAGGUCGACGCUCUGGUUCUUGAGCGCCUCGAACACCUCCGCGGGGGUCUUGCCGAGCGACACGAGGCGCUUGAGCGUCUCCUCGAUGUCGGACUCGGUGGUGGCGGAGCCCUCGUCGGAGAAGUCCCCGUGCUUGAGCUUGCUGUUCCGGCGGCGGUGCGCCAGCUCCACUUCCUCCGCCAGGUUGGCGAGGUUGAGCAUGUGCAGGAUGGAGCUCGCCACCAGGAUGGCGUCGGCGGGGGCCAGCCCCGUCAGCUUGGCUCCCAGCUCCCCCAGCUUGGACGUGUCUUUCUUGCCCUCGUAGUCGGCCGACACCUCGUAGCACUCCUGGACCUGCAUGCAUCGCAUUUGGGUAUAUAUAUAUAUAUAGUAAGCACCGGAUUCGAGACGUAUAGACUAUAGAGAGGUGAGCUGAUGAUGCUCUCAGCUCGAUCUGCUACGUACAAAUUCGCGAAGGCUGGGGCCAUGGAGGUCCUGGAGGAUGUCGAGGAAGCGGUCGACGAGCAGGGCGUCAUACUGGAUGAGCUCCUCGGAGACCUUGCCGGGUGCGAGGGCACGGAGCUGCGCGUCGAUGGAGUGGUGCCGCUCGGACGCCAUGGCGGCGGCGGCCGGGGAGUGGGCCGGGAAGCGCGAACGAAGCUGGAGAUGGUUGGAGCGCGGCGCGGCGUGUUGCUCGUGCUGCUCCUCUGCUGCGAGUUGAUUGAUCAAUGCAGGGCGCCGGCCGGUGGCUUCAAAUAGGGAUGGGGAGUUGGCGAGUGUGUGGUCGGCGUGUGCACGCGGGAUUGGAAAGGCAUGCAUGUGAUCGGCGGUAAGGGUAGCCGAGAGCUGCGCGCGGCUGUGGCUACGCUGCUUUUGGCUGGGAUCGCUGCUGUGGACGUACUUUGUCACUGCGCACUUGCCUGCUUGUGUUAUUCCGCUGGCUAAUUGCCUGUUUGCAGGACGUGGAGAGGGGUGUCUGCUAGUGCUAGCUAGUGGUAAGGAUGGGGACGACGCUUCAAAUAACUCCUCGUGGUUCUUCUCUAGUCUAACUAAACGAACUAAAUUAAAAAAAUAAGAAAGAAAUUGUUUAUUUAGUUUAUUAAGUUAGACUAGAGAAAAACCGCGCAAGUAUCCAUUUAGAGUACCAUCUUCAUUCUUAGCUAGUGGUAACCGCAAAGGGGACCGGGAGAGCUGCGGCCGCACCUUGCUCCUGGAUCGUUUUUGGCUUGGCUUUGCUGCUGUUGACGUGCUUUGUCACUGCUCACCUGCCUUCUUGUGUUAUUCGGUUGGCUGAUGGGUUUGCAGGAUGGGGAGAGGGGUGUCUGUUUGCAGUCAAGGCCGGAUUCUGGGGAUCGGUAGAAUUUGGAGGUUUGCUUGCACGCGAUGUGGAGAGAGGUGUCUGUUAGCAACGGAGGAUGCAUGGCGCUGGAGGAAGGCUUUGCAGGGUGUGGAGGAGAGGGUGCCUGUUAUCCAGUAAUGUUAAUGUUAGGAACAUAGAUGUCCUAUAUCCAUGUAAAUUGUGGAAACAGAACUUAAUUUCCUUAGGAGACCGGGAAACAAAAAAUGAACUUGUGGUUAAGGAUAUGGACUAUAAUUUUGUGGUUCAAAGAAAGGUAUUGGUAUACAUGGCUGCCGUAGGGAUAAGGGUCAUACAUGGCUGCCGUAGGGAUAAGGGUGUUGUUACUCUACCAAGGGCACCAUACAGGUGGCUGCACAGCAUUCAGGCGCUGCCAAAUCUAGCGCGCACAUCACUGGGUCAAGCCGACACAGAUUUGGACAAUACGAUGUGUAGCAGCUGGUGGUGGUGAAGAUAUGCGGAUUUAAGAGAGAGGUGGAUUUGGGUUGGGAGGAGCAACUUGCAUCGUCGUGGAUCUCCACACAAAAAAGAAGAAUUGGAAAUGUAUAAUACUAUACAUAUGCUUAAAUGAAAGUAUUUACUGAAUUGUGGAUCGAUGCAUUAAUUGUCAUCACAAGUGAAAAUUAGGUAAUAAUGAGUACUAGUUAAUAGUUGAGCACGGAAAAAGCAUCGAAUUUUGACCUUGCAUUUAGUACCACACCACAUCUCCUAACUCCUUAUUACAUGUCCCGAUCCUCAGCUUGCUGUCAACAUGUAUUAGUCGAGUAGGUCGAGAUCUGGAUCAACCAUGGCAAUAUAGAAUUCCCAAUUUCCCAUAUAUGCAAAAAGUAGCACUGCAAAUGUCCACUUUCAAUAGCAGUAGUUGUCACGUAUGAGUGUAAGUGCAUCAAUGCUAUCAGUGAGUUUUGUUGAAAAGAUGAUGACGCAUAUAAAGAGGUAAUGAUGUUUCAUGAGAUUUUCAGUUAUACAUCGAUGUGAAAAAGUGCAAAAAGAAACAUGGGACCCCUCAAUUCUUACUUUAAAGAAAAAUGCGGCAUUGCGUUUUCAAAGAAACAUGGAAAAAGCAUCGAAUUUUGACCUUGCAUAUACUACCACACCACAUCUCCUAACGCCUUAUAUCUCUACAUCCCUAUCAACACGCAUGUGUGCAUUAGAUCGAGCAGGUGUCGAGAUCUGGAUCAGCCAUGGCAAGACAUAAUUCCCAAAUUAAUUAAUUCCCAUAUGCAAAUAUUAGCACUGCAAAAUGUUCUAUUCUAACAGUAGUUCGUUGUCACGUAUGAGCAAAGCAGCAAACUAAUCUGUCACUCCAUCAAUUAGACAUCUCAAAAACAAAAGGAUGAGAUUAAAGGAAAAGACUAUAUAUAUAUAUAUAUAUAUAUAUAUAUAUAUAUAUAUAUAUAUAUAUAUAUAUAUAUAUAUAUAUAUAUAAUUCCUUAUAUAAUAUUUUUUUAAACUCAUGAGAACAUGCAUGUUUGACUCGAGAACUUAAUUAGUAGUAGUAAUAGCAUGCGGAGCACAUAAUAUGGUCCUACGUUGCGAUCCCUUGAAGCUUGUUUCUUCGCCAACAUAAGCUAAACAAAAAUACCGGCAUGACAUUUGAAAUAAAGUUCACAUUUACUAAAAGAUGAUCUUUUGGAGCACGAAACAGUUGAAUUUUCGUGUGCAGGGGAACUGGAAAUUUAGAGCCACGCAUUUUCGACAUGGAGACAAUUUAUUAGUAGUGAAAAAUUAGAAUCUAUGAUAGUUAUAGUUAUUAUUAGGUGCUACUAUUUUAAUGAGUUCGUGAUGAUUCAAUUGAAUCUAUGGUAACACCUGUGAUGCUUUUCAACGUGGAUUACACGAUUAGUGAUUUGAUCAAUACAAUUUUAUGGUUUAGAAGAUUUUGGCCAUGAAGACUUGUGCAACAUAUAUUACAGAAAAUGAUUGUGGUUGAAACAGAAGAAAAAUUGUUGGCCAAGAAAUUUAUGAUAAUGAAGUAACUGAAUAGGAAGAAUUAUUUUGAUGGAUGAAAUAAAUUUUGGCACCAAGAAAUUGAAAAUAGACGUCAAAAACAACAUCCGUUCUUGGACAAAUGCACAGCUAUGAUUAGGGACAAAUAGAGAUCUCUAUCGGUCGAAGUAUUCGCGCGCUCCCAACUCUUGCGUCCCUUCUACGCAACCUCACGUCUCCUGCACCAUGUAUCAGUGAAAAACACACAACGACCACUUAUCGCUCCCAGCUCUUAUGUCCCUUCUACACAGCCUCACAUCUCAUACACCAUGUAUCAGAGAAAAACACACAAUGACCACUUAUCAGAGAGUAAAAAUAUGAGCGUCUAGAAGCUUCUACACUUGAGAGCUUAGACACGAACAAAACGAAGAAGCCUCUACACUUGUACUACAAGGAGUGCAAAAAUGGCCGACAAUUGUUAUACUGUUGGGCAUUUACUUGCACCGUCGGGAAGUGUAAUGCCCGAGCGUGUACCGUCGGGAACCUCACGUCGAGCAUCCAUGGUCGGGCAUUCCCCCUUUUACGGACGGGUAGUCGGUCAUUGUGUGGCCGACCGUAUGUUUCCGACGGUUAACGCUCAACAAUUAGUUUGUAAACACGCCAAAAAGACUUUGGUCGGACAUGAAUUGCCGAGGGUACCCUAGUCGGGGACUUGUUACUUGACAAUUUUUUAAAAUCCAUUGGCAAAUAUAUACAGUCUGAGUUUUGUUGAACGACGGCUUUUUAAAACCCAUCAGAAAAUAUAUCCGGUCAGGAAUGCAUUGCAUGACGGGUUUUUAAAACCCGUCGGGAAAUAUAUUCGGUCAGAGAUUUGUUGCAUGACAGUUUUUAAAACCCAUCGAAAAAUAUAAUCUGUUGGGGAUUUGUUGUACGACGGUUUUUUAACCCAUCGAGGAACAUAUUAGCAACGGUGUUUAUUAACCAUUAGGAAAUAUAAUCGGUUGGGGAUUUGUUGCAUGACGGUUAUUGAACCCCAUCGAGAAACAUAUUAGCAAUGGUGCUUGGGAUAUUUUAUAGCCAUAAAUAAUUAAUAUUUAACAAUGAAGAUCAAUUCUAGAUGUACAUUCACACUAUAACUCACGACAUUUCAUAACCAGCUCUACAAUAUUGCAUAGUACAAUGAAAGUUUGAAGCCCAAUGACAACUAAACAAAGGUACGAACAAGAGAUUCUUAAAGUUUCUAAGAACAUUCUUCAACAUAACAUAAGUUAAUGUUUAGACUAAAAUACUUGACUAAGAUGCUGCUAUUCACAAGGCAUAACAAAUACUACUUAAAAGUGCCACACACUUCAUAUGUUGUAUAGAAUCUUUUCUCAUCAAUAGGUGCCAUCAUCAUCAUAACCAUGGUUCACAUAAUAUUUGCCAUCAUCUUGGGAACGAUAGACUUCAUCUUCAUAAUCAUAGGUAUCAUCCUCACUGUCAUCACCACUAUAGUUUUCUCCACCAAUGUUAUCCUACAGAAGUUGUAAAAUUAUUUCUAUAAACAUAUGAACUAACUUGAAUACAUAUAAGAUAGAUUUUAUAAUACUUAACUUGAAUACAUAUAAGAUAGAUCUUAUAAUACUUUGGCAUGAAUAUGCAACACAAAUAAUACUUACAUGUUCAGAUGCAUUAGGAACAGUUUUCUUAUGCUCUAUAGAGAAUGCAACCUCGGAUUCAGAAGUAGGUUGCAUGUCAUUGUUGACGGUCCUUAAUGCUCACAUUUAACCGUCAACUAAUCAUGGAAAAGGACCUAUAUGCAACCAACAUCCAAAAUUAGGGUUUCAUCUGACAGAAUUUCACGAGUUUUGGUGUUUGUCUAUUUCUGCAGGGGGUUAUGAGGAAAUAUGGAGGAAAGGUCCACACAUCGGGUUUACAUAGAGAUAUUAACGUGCACCGUAAUUAUCCAACAUCUAGAAGAGUCGAGAAGCCACGGGAACGAGCGGAUGGCCGAGCGGGCCCGGGGGCUGGGCGCCCGACCUCCCUCAUAGGGCGCCGCCCUGCUACAGGAGCCAAUCAGGCUCCGCCUCGCGGAUUAUGCUCCACCGACCGAACGAAUUAAGGAAAACCGUGCGAUUAAGGUCGGUUUGAUCCGACGGGCCAUGUUCAUUUGGAAGGGCUAUAUAAGCAGGCCCCCUGGCCCCUGGAGAGGAUAUUUCUUCUACACAAUCAAAGCUAGGGUUUCAAUUAUUCAUCCAAGUAGAGAGGAUCCCUCUAGUUCAUCUAGUUCUAGUUCUAGUUCAUCUAGUUCUAGUUCUAGUUAGUUCUAGUUGUAAUCUAGAAAAUAGGGAGAGAGAAGAGGAGAGCGGAGGAGGAGCCGGAUCUGUCGGAUCUUCCUCAACAUUAUACUUUUGCAGCAAUUGGUUUGUUCUUCAUCGUUGUCCAAGUUCUUCAAUUCAUAAUUCCUGAGUUCUUUAAUUACUUUUAUUUACAUUCAAGUUAUUUAUUGGAUUUCUGCUAACAUCAAGUGCUCUAGUCUUUGCAAUGCUAGAGUAGUAAUUAAUAGAUUAGACGUGGUGUUUAGUCUUGCAAUUACCUAGAAUUACACCCAAUCCUGUGGAUUAUUGUGGUAGCUCUAGGGUAGUGACAGACCUAACGGUCGACGUAUUCCACCUCGUUCGGAUCGGUGUUUGUAGGACCAUAGUCAGAGCUUCCUAGCCCCCUUCUCAUCUCUUUCUGUGGUUAGUGUUCUGAUGUCCCGAAAUAAAUAAUCUUUGAAGUAAUUCUUUAUUCUUAGAUCAACUAGAGAACUCUCAGGAAACUUCCUCUCUUCCCACCAAAAAUAAUUAUAUAGUUAUCCUUGGGCGAUCUUGAAUCUUAAUUAGUACACUCAUGUUCCCUGUAGAAAAUCGAUACUCUAGAAUACUCCUGGAUGAAAGCUACAUCGGUAUCCGUGCGCUUGCGGAUUUUUUCUGUUUGCGUUUAAAAUACCCAACAAGCUUUCUGGCGCCAUUGCCGGGGAACGGUAGUUGUGCUAGUUUCGAACCAAGUCGUACGUGUAUCCUUUUUCUUUUCCUUUUUUUUACCACACUCACCUUACCAUUUUCACCAUACCACAUGGAUUUCACUCCUAUCUAUAAAUUAUUUGCUCCAAAGGGCGAGUUAUUAGAGCCACCACCAUCAUCACAUCCAAUUCUUACAGAUGGCUACGACCUCGGCCCUGAUCUAAUAGCCAUGAUUCAGGAGCAACCCUUCUCUGGGCAAGUAGAUGAAGAUCCAUACACCCACCUUAGAGAAUUCGAGCAGUUGUGCUCUUGCCGAUCUAUUUCCGGCAUGACACAAGAAACCCUUAAAUGGAAAUUAUUUCCAUUCUCCCUUUUGGGAAGAGCAAAAAAGUGGUAUGCUCAUUCUGUAGGAGGCGUUAAUGGAAAUUGGGAUGAACUUCAGGACAACUGUUGUCUCGCUUUCUUCCCACUUUUUCGAAUCGCUGACCUUAGAAUCAAAAUUCUUACAUUCAAACAAAGAGAGAAGGAAACUUUAGGAGCAGCUUGAGCUAGGUUCACAAGCCUUACCAAUUUCAGUCCAAACCUUUUCAUGCCUGACCAUGUACUAUACUACCACUUUUAUCGUGGUCUAAACAAGGAAGCUGCUCUUCACCUCGACAUUGCUUCAUGAGGCUCAUUCGCACACAAACUCAUAGAUGAGGGGAGAGCUAUCCUAGAGAGAAUCCUUGAAAAUAUCCCUUACACAGCCAUUUAUGAUGAGUUUCCUAAAGAAGAAAAAGAAGUCGAGCCUGAUCCUAAACCAAAAGAUGAGGAACUUGCAACCGAGUUAGAAAUUCCACCUGACCCAUCUAUUAAUUUGGUUGUAGAGAAACCUCCUGAUAAGGGAAUGCAAAACCAACUAAGGGAUAAUGAACCACCACCUUUAGAGCAUUCCUUUGAAUUCGAGGAAGAUCUUUUUGAAGAUUAUGGAAACGCCUCGAAUUUUCUUAUCCAAACACGACCUCUAGCAGGGACCACUCAAUCCGUUCUAAGAGUAGAAUCUGUUGACAUAGAACACAUCAAAUGCCUUUCGGCUAUUCUGAGUUAUGAAUGGCUAACAGAAGCAGAGCUGUCUCCUGAGGUAGCUCAGAUCAUCACUCCUUCAACCAUUCUUCUGUGCAAAAUUAGAGGGUCCGCUAGGAAGGUCCACUACAAUCCACAUGUUGGGAUAAAUGUUAUUUCCAAGGAGUUAGCUCACACUCUUUAUCCCAAUGAGUCCAUAACCCCAUCUCAAAAACUUUUACAAAGUCCAUCUGGAUUAAUUCUAGAAAGCCAUGGGGGUAUUAAGGGCAGUUCCUGUUAGAAUCAAGGACUCUGGAAUAUGUCUAGAUUUUCACAUUUUUGACAUACCGGAGAUUCCUCUCUUGAUUGGCAGACCAAUCAUGAAACUUCUACAAGAACAACCACAACGAGGUCAUUUAGACUUCAAUGUUGGGAAUUCCACUAUUGUUGUUCCUCUUGCUAGAUCAAUUAACACGAUAGUGGAACCCAAACUUAAACUAGAUCCUAUUGAGGAGAUCUUAAUGCUGACUCAAGAGGAGAUGGCCCAACCAUUCUUUAAUCAUGAACACUUUGUUCAAGAAGAAGAAGAGUUGGUAUAACCUGUUGAGCUAGACAAAAAUGAACAACCUUCACCUCCUUCGAUAGAGUUAAAACCUCUUCCUUCUGGCCUUAGAUAUGUCUUUUUGCACAACAACCCAAAAACUCCAGUAAUUAUCAGUGACAAGCUUUUCGAUUAUGAAACACAACAACUUGUCACUGUUCUUGAAAGGCAUAGAUCAGCAUUUGGCUACUCUCUUGAAGAUCUCACGGGCAUUAGUCCCAUUCUCUGCACUCAUCGUAUCCCUAUUGAUCCCAAUUUUACACCUUCAAGGGAACCACAACGGAGACUUAACAAUGCUAUGCGAGAGGUUGUUAAGAAAGAGGUCCUCAAACUCUAUCAUGCUGGGAUUAUUUAUCCUGUGCCACAUAGUGAGUGGGUUAGCCUUGUCCAAGUAGUGCCAAAGAAAGGAGGAAUGAGAGUCGUUAGGAAUGAGAAGAAUGAACUCAUCCCUCAACAAAUUGUCACUGGGUGGCGUAUGUGUAUUGACUAUCGAAAACUCAACAAGGCUACAAAGAAAGAUCACUUUCCGUUACCCUUCAUUGAUGAAAUAUUGGAACGGCUUGCAAACCACUCUUUAUUUUGUUUCCUUGAUGGUUAUUCUGGAUAUCACCAAAUCCCAAUCCACCCAGAUGACCAAGAAAAGACUACCUUUACAUGCCCGUAUGGAACUUAUGCAUACCGACGAAUGUCGUUCAGAUUGUGCAAUGCUCCAGCUUCUUUCCAACGGUGCAUGAUGUCUAUUUUCUCGGACAUGAUUGAGAAGAUCAUGGAGGUUUUCAUGGAUGAUUUUAUCGUAUAUGGCAAAACCUUCGAUCAUUGUUUGGAGAAUUUAGAUAAAGUCUUGCAGCGAUGUGAAGAAAAGCACUUAAUCCUGAACUGGGAGAAAUGCCAUUUUAUGGUUCAGGAAGGAAUAGUGCUAGGACAUAAAGUGUCCGAACGUGGUAUAGAGGUGGACAAAGCAAAGAUUGAAGUUAUUGAAAAACUUCCACCUCCCACGAAUGUGAAAGGAAUCCGUAGCUUUUUGGGACAUGCAGGGUUCUAUAGACACUUUAUCAAGAACUUCUCUCAAAUUGCUAGACCCCUAACUAGUCUCCUAGCUAAGGAUGCACCUUUCAUCUUUAGUGAUGAGUGUCAUGAAUCUUUUCAAACUCAUAAGAAAGCACUCAUCUCAGCCCCGAUUAUCCAACCACCUGAUUGGAAUCUUCCUUUUGAGAUCAUGUGUGAUGCUAGCGAUUUUGAGGUUGGUGCCGUUUUAGGACAAACCAAGGAUAAAAAGCAUUAUGCCAUAUCCUACGCUAGCAAAAUCUUGUCUGGACCACAGCUCAAUUACACUACAACUGAAAAAGAGAUUUUGGCUAUUGUCUUUGCUAUUGACAAGUUUAGAUCUUACUUAGUGGGGCAAAGAUAAUCAUCUAUUCAGACCAUGCUGCUCUCAAGUACCUCCUCACUAAGAAAGAUGCUAAGCCUCGUCUAAUUCAAUGGAUUCUUCUACUCCAAGACUUUGACAUAGAAAUCCAAGAUAGGAAGGGAGUAGAGAAUUCCGUAGCCGACCACUUGUCUAGGCUUCAAUAUAAGGAAACACAUGAUGAGCUUCCCAUAAAUGACUACCUAAGGGAUGACACCCUGCUUAAGAUAACACAUGUAAAUCCAUGGUACGCAGACAUCGUAAACUUUAUAGUAAAAGGCUAUGUCCCACCUGGUACAAACAAAAGGAAGUUGCUUCACGAUUGUCGUUUCCACCAUUGGGAUGAGCCAUAUUUUUUCCGAGUCUGCACUGAUGGACUCUUGAGAAGGUGUGUUCCUAUGGCUGAGGCUACCCAAAUUAUGGAAAGAUGCCACGCCUCGCCAUAUGGAGGACACUAUGGAGCAUUCCGGACACAUGCUAAAAUUUGGCAAAGUGGCUUUUUCUGGCCAACGAUGUAUGAAGAUACAAAGGACUUUGUCAGGAGAUGCCACCGAUGUCAAAAACAUGGGAAUAUCAACUCACGAAAUGAAAUGCCUCUCACAAAUAAUCUUCAAGUAGAACUUUCCGAUGUAUGGGGCAUUGAUUUCAUGGGGCCAUUCCCUAUGUCCGGGAAUUGCGAGUAUAUCUUAGUAGCUGUGGACUACGUGUCCAAAUGGGUAGAAGCCUGUUGACACUUGCUAACACCACUUGAAUACUAGGUUGUCAUCCCCAGCAUAGCACUAGAGUGUACUAUGGUAUUUAUACGCACACAGAUAAUCCGCAAGCGCACGGAUACCGUUGAAGCUUUUACCCGGUUAAAGGUUUUAUCGUAUCCACAGGGAAACGGGAGAACCAACUACGCUCUAACUUAACCAAAAUAGGAAAGAUGGUAGAAUCGAAUAAGAACAAUAUUAAAGGUAAGAUAACAGUGAGUGAUAAUAUGGGAAUAGAGAAUAGAGCAAUUCUAGUAUAUGGGCGAUGGUAGCAGAAUAGAGAGAAUAACUAUGGUUUCUCUACUUCAAAGGGGUAUGUCUAUGUCUGGGACGAACCACGUGAUAAGAUUACACCAGAAAGGAUGCUUAUCCAUAGGCCGAUAAACACUACCCAUCCUGCUAACGAGAGGUGGACUACAGAGGACCAACGUAACUGUCACCUACGCGGCCUACCACAUGAUCCACCUAGACAGGGGAUAUCCACAAGUAAUCUAGGUCUAAGCACCACGCUUACACCUAUACUACAACUCUAACCUAUAGCGUCCUAUAUAGAUUAGAAGUACUCAAAAGAGUUGUGAACCAGAACAUACAUGAUUAGUAAUUGCAUAAUGAAUUAGAAGUAGAUUACUAGAGUCAUCCCUUGAGCAAGCUUGAUUAGAGCUUGAUCAUGACGAAGUACAACCGGAGGAAGAACCGACAGGCCGGCCUCUCCUCUAAUCCUCCUUCGCUCUCCAUCUUGCUACUAUCUAGAUCUACUCUAGUUUAGAGAAGAGAGGAGAGCUCUCAUCUCUAAACCCUAGCUUUUGCUCUGUCUAUGAAUAAUGAAUAAUGUUCAAGGGGUGCCUCCUCCAGGGGCCAGGGGGUCUGGUUAUAUAGUCUUUUCAGAUGAAUCUGGGCCGUCGGAUCAAACCGACAUUGAUCGUGUGGUUUUCCUUGAAGUAUUAGGUCGGUGGAGAUCUCCCGAGAGAAAGAGUCCCGAUUGGGCUCCAGAGGUGGGCGGGCGCCCAGGGUAGGAGGGCGGGCGCCCUGCCUCUGGCCCCGUUCGGUCUCUGCUUGCUUCCCGUGGCUUCUGGAGUCUUCUAGAUGGAAGAUAAUUGCGCGGCACGUUAAUAUCUCUAUGUAAUUCCGACGUGUGGGCCUUUCUUCCGUAUUUCCUGAUAACCCCCUGCAGAAAUAGACAAACACCAAAACUCGUAGAAUUCUGUCAGAUAAAACCCUAAGUCUAGAUGUUGAUUUCAUUUGGAUCCUUUUUUUUGUUUAUGUGAUAAUUAAAUUUGAUACUUAAGGACCAUCAAUAAACUCCCCCAAGCUUACCUCUUGCUUGUCCCUGAGCAAGGAUAGACUCAGCAAUGGAUCAGAAGUUGUUGCAAUAUCUUAAAAAUUUGACGGUACACAUGCUUUUAAAUAAGAUCUCAUCUCUGAGUUAGAGUAAACUGUCAAGAACUAAAACUUACUUACUUUACCUUUCACCAUGGGACUUGUAACCGUCACUUCUGUCUUGAGUAGUUAAAAGAUAGAACAGUCUAGCCAAGUGCCAUGUCUCUUAUUCUUGAUCAGCUAUAGCUCUGGAGUUUUUACAGAUUUUCAAAUAAAACUCAGAGAUUCCUUGUAUGACUCUCUCAAUCUCUCUUUGGUGGUAUUUCUGGAUCCUUACCAAGGCAGUGAUGGUAUAUGCCUUCUCUCAAGAUAUGUGGUAUUUGUGGUAUAAGGCAUAGUGACAUUGCCUUCUCUCUCACCCUACUCUAAUAAGGCUUUAAUAUCUGGAGCUCAUAGGUGGGAGAUAAAGUAUACAUACUUACAAGACAUUUAUUGUAUAGUCAAACCAUGGAUCCAAAGAAACAAAUCAAUAAGCCAAAUCAAGAUGUGCAUGUGUGGCGAAUGAAUGGUGUAUGGUGAUGAUGGUGAUAACAAUGGUGGAAGUCUAAUUCUACUUUUGCUCUUUUGAGGGGAUACAUACCUUCCUUGCUUUUUGAAACUUUAUGAGGAGAAUGAGAUGCUCUUCUUUUUCUUUUCUCUCAGGUGGGUAUCCUGUACCCCUAAUUCUACUGUCGGACACUUGUCUAUUUUUACCUCUCGUCUCACUCUUUUUUUUUCUUUCGAGGUUCCGGGCACUUGCCCCUUUUUAUUUCCUCGUUUAUUAUUUUUUUCUCUUUUUUUUAGAGCACUCAUCUGUUGAGAUAAUAUAGCAAGUGGUAGUAGCAAGAUAACUUGAGCAUUUAUUUCACAAGGGAAAACAGAAAUAUUUUUGGCUAUUCUUUCCCGGAUUAGGAGUAGAAUAUUUUUGGGUGGUUCUGGAGAUGGACAUGGAUGGAUAUAUGUGGAUGGUACUUCCGGAGUAGAAGUAGCAUAUAUGAGUAAACGUGCAAGUGAAUCUUGAUUUAACCACAUGACAAGCUCCUAAGGGUCUGCACAGCUUGACCACACUCAAUGCUCAUAAGCAGUAAAUAAUAAAUAUGUGGCUCAAAGUCUAGCAAGCAUGUAUAUAUGGCUGUGGUAGGAAUUUAAACUCUCAUCAUACAGGAACUCAUCAUGCAACAUUUUAAAGAUUUUCAAAGAUAAAAUUCUCCAGAUUUCUAGCAUCUCUAGGAACAGAUAAAUAGCAACUCAACCUUCCCAUAUCAUAUCCGUUAACAACUUAGAUUUCAGAUCAAGUUUUCAUCCCACAAGUUUAGAUCUAGAGCAAGCUUUAAAUUAUAACAGUUAUGUCUAAACUUGAGAGAGAGCUUCAAAUUUGCAAAUUAGGCAGAGUAACUAUUCAUCAUAUCCAUGCUAGAGUUUUAUUAUUAAGAUUCAGAUUAGCAUAGCCACUUUAUUUAUUUAUUAAACACACUAAGCAAAAGAUAUAUAUAUAUAAGCACAAAAUCUUUAUUUGGUUUUUCAUAGUUUAUGUAUUUUAAUAUUCUAACAUAAUAUAAGUAUAAAGAUAGGUAGAAAUACUUAGCGAGAUAAAUGGGGGUGCUCUCCCCCAAGCUGAAUUUUGACGUAAUUUCUCUUGCUGUAGCUAGCAGGUGGCAAAGGUGUAUUUGAAAGUUAGCAACAUUCUGACAACGAUUAGAAUGUCCUCCGUCUGCUAGUCUUCUUGAUUCUUAAAUUCUGUGGAGCUCAAAUAGACAACAAAGCUCGUGGAACUAAGUGUUAGCAUAAAUAUCUAGCCUUCAUCAUGUUGAGCUUCCUCAAUAAAUAUUACUCCCUAUUUUUAUAUUUUUAUUUUAUAAAGCAGAAAAGAAAUAUUUAUUUUAUUUUUAUGCCACCAUAGUGAAGGUACUUAUGGGUUUUAUGCCACUCGUAUACUCACAUGGGGCUUAGUAUUUUUUAACAUUUUUAUUUUCUUUUCAAGAUAGCAUGAUUAACUAAUAAUCUAUUUAAAGAAAGUAAAUAAUUAAAGGGAAAAGGGAAUGCAGAAAGGAUAAAUAUGGAUAACUACCGAUCUUACCUUUCGGCGAGGGUUCAAUGUUUUAAGUCUUUUUAACAAGACUUCUCACCGUGUUCAUUCUUUAGGUGCGUCAUUUGAUUCAGGUGCGGACCUUGACAUCUGCACCUCUUGAUACGGUGUCACCCAUGUUCUUCGUUUGCCCAGCAGUUCGAAGUGCGGCGUUGGCAGUAUCCUGCUCAGUGUGUUUGUGCUCGUAGAUCCAGGUCCUUCACUUGGUAGAGUCUGAGAGUUAUAAAACUCCUCCGUGUUUUGCUCAAAGUGUACCUGCUCAUAGAGACAAGGCAGAGAUCAAGUGCAUGGGUCCUGUUGGUGGAAAACACCAACAGAACCUAAAGUGUAUUUGUUGUUCUCUAACCCUAAGCAUAGUGAGCAAGACAAAGUUGAUGGAUGAAAAGUUCAUGAGUGUAGCACUUAUAACAUUUGUCAGAUCAGAUCGCUCAACCUUAUGGAAAGAUAAUUUAUCUAUGUAUAUGUCUUUUUCUUUAUAUCUCUCAAUGAUUGAAUGUGUAACAUUUUAGCUCAUAUGAUUAGGAGUGUGGGAUCAUGGAGGUAGUACUAAGAAUAAGGAUUAAAGGACUAAACAUGUUGAAUCAGUUGGGUUGGUUAAUCUAGACUUGUAAAUCAUACAUGUUUGUCUCUUUUAUUUAUAUGAACGCCAAAACCAAGGAGAAGCUUAUAAAAGUGAUAGUCAAGUACCUUA
Molecule: long non-coding RNA, 19408 nt
Filed under: Sorghum bicolor (sorghum)
Lineage: Eukaryota; Viridiplantae; Streptophyta; Magnoliopsida; Poales; Poaceae
Description: long non-coding RNA (SBIC_LNC018062)
Source: RNAcentral